Non-coding RNA from Larimichthys crocea (large yellow croaker), 83 nucleotides. The record is from Rfam. Lineage: Eukaryota; Metazoa; Chordata; Actinopteri; Sciaenidae.
ACCAGGAUGGCCGAGUGGUUAAGGCGUUGGACUUAAGAUCCAAUGGGCAGAUGCCCACGUGGGUUCGAACCCCACUCCUGGUA